This 73-nucleotide transfer RNA is filed under the name Sphingobacteriaceae bacterium. RNAcentral describes it as "tRNA-Ala". It matches the Rfam family "tRNA". Rfam says of the family: Transfer RNA (tRNA) molecules are approximately 80 nucleotides in length. Their secondary structure includes four short double-helical elements and three loops (D, anti-codon, and T loops). Lineage: Bacteria; Pseudomonadati; Bacteroidota; Sphingobacteriia; Sphingobacteriales; Sphingobacteriaceae. The record is from RNAcentral.
GAUGGUGUAACUCAGUUGGUAGAGUGGCACUUUUGCAAGGUGUAAGUCGUGGGUUCGAAUCCCACUACCUCCA